Molecule: ribosomal RNA, 139 nt
Filed under: uncultured eukaryote
Lineage: Eukaryota
Description: partial 18S ribosomal RNA
Rfam family: Eukaryotic small subunit ribosomal RNA
Source: RNAcentral
UGGUGGAGUGAUUUGUCUGGUUAAUUCCGUUAACGAACGAGACCUCGACCUGCUAAAUAGUUCUAGUCAUCUUCCGAUGGCUGGACACUUCUUAGAGGGACUAUCGGUGGUUAGCCGAUGGAAGUUCGAGGCAAUAACA